GACGAACGCUGGCGGCGCGCCUAACACAUGCAAGUCGAACGAGCGAGAGAGAGCUUGCUUUCUCAAGCGAGUGGCGAACGGGUGAGUAACGCGUGAGGAACCUGCCUCAAAGAGGGGGACAACAGUUGGAAACGACUGCUAAUACCGCAUAAGCCCACGACCCGGCAUCGGGGAGAGGGAAAAGGAGCAAUCCGCUUUGAGAUGGCCUCGCGUCCGAUUAGCUAGUUGGUGAGGUAACGGCCCACCAAGGCGACGAGCGGUGGCCGGACGGAGGGGUGGAACGGCCAGAUUGGGGCUAAGACACGGCCUCGACUCCGACGGGAGGGAGCAGUGGGGAAUAUUGCACGAGGGGGGAAACCGUGAUGCAGCGGCGCGGCGUGGAGGAAGAAGGGCUUCGGAUUGUAAACUCCUGUUGUAGAGGAAGAUAAUGACGGUACUCAACAAGGAAGUGACGGCUAACUACGUG
RNAcentral lists this ribosomal RNA (466 nucleotides) under uncultured bacterium. RNAcentral describes it as "partial 16S ribosomal RNA". It matches the Rfam family "Bacterial small subunit ribosomal RNA", at positions 28 to 507 of the family's 1533-position model. The record is from RNAcentral.